This is a long non-coding RNA of Anopheles darlingi, 877 nucleotides long. RefSeq lists it as uncharacterized. The record is from RefSeq and is a predicted model, not a curated record. NCBI's taxonomy places the organism in Eukaryota, Metazoa, Arthropoda, Insecta, Diptera, Culicidae. The transcript is spliced from 3 exons.
CGUCCUCGCACUCCUAUGCAAUUUGGCUGAUUGUUUAGGCCGUGCCUUUCUCUCUUCUCACUAUGAGAAUCUCACUACAAAUUUUAAAUUUGUUUUAAGUCUCCGCGUGGUUUGUGUUUAGUAAUUCGGGAUCGCUUCAGGAUGGCUCCAGGAUGGGACAGCUUAGAAGCAAGACAAGAAAGCAUCCUUUCCCUACUUGCAUUUCUCUUUCAACCUUUCAGCCAGCUGCCCAUCCUUGCGGUGGCGUGUGCUGAAACCAGAGGCCUAGUACCCAAGACCCAGAACACCGUUCCGGCGGAAACAGGAACCCGUUUUCGGAAGGCACCGUGUACAGCCGCUGGAGCGGUAAACCAUGAAUUACACCAGUCAAAAGAGCAUCCGAUGUGGGGCUGCUAGAAAACAAAGACUGACGACACUGAUCAGAGAGAAGAAGUCGAUCGACGAUUCGAACUAGUUUAUCGUGGCCGGAUCCAGCUCCAUGCAGGGAUGGCGUAUGAAACAGGAAAAUGCUCACAAUUGCAUGUUGGACUUCGACGGAAAUGUGUCGAUUGUUGUCGUAUACGAUGGGCACCUUUACCAUCUGUUCGGCCAAAGCAGCUCCUGACGCGAAGGAAGUAAAUACGAACCGAAAGAGGAUGCGAAUAAAUCAGCGAUACAGAUGGCAAAUGAUGGGUAGAUGCUUUCUGUUUAGACCUACAGAAAAAUCUCCGCGCAUCGAACAGUCCCCGGUCAGAGAUUAAUCCGAAGUUCUGGCGCAGAUCGGCUUCACGUAACCGAUCUACAACAGAACCCGGUCGUAUUAAAUUUGGAUGUUAUACUAUUCUGAUCAGCAUUCUGAAUGCUUGGUGCAUGGUUUUAUAUGGAAGAACUGCUGCUC